RNAcentral lists this long non-coding RNA (310 nucleotides) under Homo sapiens (human). RNAcentral's name for it is "ZNF571 antisense RNA 1". Lineage: Eukaryota; Metazoa; Chordata; Mammalia; Primates; Hominidae. The record is from RNAcentral.
AGCGGCUUGGCCCCCAGGCGUCUGUGGCAGUGCGUCCCCUCUCCGCGGGAUCGUCGCCAUGGUCCUGCGAUCCUAGGAGUCGGGCAAGGCCGAACCUGCCUGAAGAAACCUCAAGCGGAGAUUCAAGGAAGCACCACGUGAUCCCUAAGGAUCCCAAAGAUGCGUCGGGCAUGCAUGGGCGGUGUGAGGGUGCGUCUCCCUGACAGGUGUCCCCGCUGGGAUUUCGAGAAAGAAGACCAGCACACGACAACCAAGAACAAAUUCCUCCAGGGGCCCAUGGUCCUGCGGCACACCCAAGGCUGGACGGACC